AAAAAUCAGUGUGAAAUUUGAGAAUAAUUGUUAAAAAUUCUGAUUUUGCAAGGAAGAUCCAUUGAAGACUUUUAGAUUGUUAUUGCAAGCUGUCUAUUGUAUUAGACAGUCUCAACAGUAUUUACAUACUUCAGUUUCCUUAAUUAACAUCUCUUUUUUUUUUUUUUAAAACCUAGUUGAGUUAGCAGUUGUGGUAUUAGUGACAGGUUUACUAGUGGGUAAAAAGAAAGCAGCUGGUAUACAAAUGCAACUUAAUGGGGCCUCAGCUAUUUUUUAUACAGUGAUAUAUGUGAGAAGUUCUGACUAUUAGUUUUAACAAAUAUAUGCUGUUUUAGAUUCUUUGCAUUGAUUUCUCACAGCUUUUUUUUGGACUGGUGACAGCUUACCAGUGUAGGAUUUCUGCUUGGUUGUCUUCCUGUGGGCUUUCAGGAAGUGGUGUACAUUACGUGGGGCAUGGUUUCCUGUGGAAUAUUGCUUAACCCAGUUCCCUUGUGUGUGUGUUUUUAUGCAAAUACUGUCUUAUUCUGGUUUGGCCCUGACUUACUUGAAAUGUUUCUUCAAAAUUGGCAAAUAACAUUGCAUUCAAGGUUCUCUGGUUAUUGCUGCCUUUAAACAGGAGAUGCACACCAUUAGCCAGACUGUCAUCCUGAAUAGUCCAUCUGACAUAAAUCAGGUGACAAAGAAUUCCCUCAUAAAAACUAAUUCUUGAAAUCUCCUGAACAGUACGAUUAUUGUUAUAUACCCAAAAUUGUAAGAACGAAGAAAUCUUAUAUCUCUUAAGUUCUGGGGAAAAGGAUAAGGUAGGAGCUGAUCUUCCUUGCCAAAUUAAGUAUAUAAAAAAAAACAAACAAAAAAACCCCUUUUUAUGUUGAACAAAGUUGUUUGUCUUUUUCUUGUGGCUGUGUAGGGGGUGUGUUGCGUACAGAUCAAACUGUAAGGAAUAGUGCUUUUUGUCCCUAUUAUCUCCUUCCCACCCCACAUGAACCUGCCAAAGCAAAACAGAUCUCCAGCCUAUCAGCCCAUGUGACCAUCUAUGCCAGAUUCUGUCUCCAGUGGGUGGGACGUUCUGUUAUACAACCACCAUCUGCACCUUCUAGAACUGGAGGGACUUAGAAAACUAAUUCAUGUCGAUUUCUGCCUCAAAUAGACAUUACCAGUUUCUGAGACACUAAGGGAAGGGUCAGAUUUGUGUUUUGUUUUCAAAAAGCUAAGUUUGCAGUAGAGCUUGGAUCAAUUAAUCUAUUGGCUUUUU
This is a long non-coding RNA of Gavialis gangeticus (Gharial), 1252 nucleotides long. RefSeq lists it as uncharacterized. The record is from RefSeq and is a predicted model, not a curated record. NCBI's taxonomy places the organism in Eukaryota, Metazoa, Chordata, Crocodylia, Gavialidae. The transcript has 3 exons.